This 481-nucleotide ribosomal RNA is filed under the name uncultured bacterium. Its description in RNAcentral is "bacterial SSU rRNA". It matches the Rfam family "Bacterial small subunit ribosomal RNA", at positions 8 to 507 of the family's 1533-position model. The record is from RNAcentral.
AGAGUUUGAUCAUGGCUCAGGACGAACGCUGGCGGCGUGCCUAACACAUGCAAGUCGAACGAGGUCCAUCCUUCGGGAGAAGACCUAGUGGCGAACGGGUGAGUAACACGUGAAGAACCUGCCCCGAAGACCGGGAUAACCCUCCGAAAGGAGAGCUAAUACCGGAUACCCCCACCGAACCGCAUGGUUUGGUGAGGAAAUGGAUUCCGCUUCGGGAGGGCUUCGCGGCCUAUCAGCUAGUUGGUGGGGUAACGGCCCACCAAGGCAUCGACGGGUAGCUGGUCUGAGAGGACGAUCAGCCACACUGGGACUGAGACACGGCCCAGACUCCUACGGGAGGCAGCAGUGGGAAUCUUGCGCAAUGGGCGAAAGCCUGACGCAGCAACGCCGCGUGGGGGAUGAAGGCUCUCGGGUUGUAAGCCCCUUUCAGCAGGGACGAAUCAAGACGGUACCUGCAGAAGAAGCCCCGGCUAACUACGUG